Molecule: RNA transcript, 1907 nt
Organism: Maylandia zebra (zebra mbuna)
Lineage: Eukaryota; Metazoa; Chordata; Actinopteri; Cichliformes; Cichlidae
Gene name: UDP-glucuronosyltransferase 2A2 pseudogene
Source: RefSeq, a predicted model, not a curated record
AGAACUUGUCUAUACCAGUCAAAGGGGAUUCAGAUAACGGACAAAAGCCACCAGAGCAGGAAGAACUAUCAGCUGCCACUUCUCUGACACCGGACAUCUCCGUCUCCUGAGCAGCAACCAGAAAAACUAUCAGCUGCCGCUUUCCUGACACCGGACAUCUCCUUGCAGGAGGACGGACAGCUGUCUCCUGAGCAGCCUAACAGCAACUCAUCUGAUGAUGGAUUCAUAAGAAUCAGGGUUCCACUUGAACCAACUUUUUUUUUUCUUGAAAAGGAAAGAAUGGGCUAAUCUAAAAAAUAAGAGAUCCCAAAGAAGAUACAAGGGACUACAGUGGACAAAUCUGAUUUCAGACAGACUACGGACAGUGUUUCCAUAUUGUUCCUUUGCUUUCAAAGGGCACAGAGUCCAGGCUUUGGACUCAGUAAGAAAGGACCCUUUCUUCAGGUGUCUGGGUUACUGCAGUUUCGAGGAUUGUCCAGUGACUGUCAAUGUCACUGUAGAUAAAGAAGACGAUCUAAAGGCGAAAGUAAAUUUUCAAGAUCUCGAGUGUGUGCACAACCACUAUGAACUGAAAAGAAGACCAGUAAGAGCUCAUAAGAGAGAUAAAAUUGACCAUGAAUUGGAAAAACAAUUACCCAGAGCCAUGUAUCUGGAAAAAAUGAGCAAAAUGGAUGAUGAUGUUGUGCAAUCGGGGUGUAGAGAUGAAGUUCCAACUCCUCAAGUGUUGAGAAACAUAGCAUUGGAAAUCCGAAAGAAAAGUCGUCUUCAUCAUAAUGAGAUUAUGAGUCUCCAGUUAAUGGUGGCAAACAAGAAGAACAACCCAGAGGAUGUAUUGCAGAAAGUGAUGUUACAUCCAAAAGGUGUUUUUUUAUGGUCUUCCAAGAGCAUUGAAAUUUUCCAGAGCCGCUGUCGGGAGGACUUAGUUUAUUUGGAUGCUACAGGAAGUAUCAUGAAAAAAAGAAAGUGUUUGCCUCCUUUCUGUAUUUACGAACUUGUAGUAAGGAAUCCAUGGAAAACAUGCUCUCCCCUACCAGUGGCUACAUAUUUAACAUGUGACCAUACCACUGCCUCGGUCACAUAUUUUCUGGAAGCAUUUCUGACUGAUGUUGCAAGGGCCUUUGGGCGCAAAGCCAUGCAUUCAGCUGUAAUGCUUACGUGUGAUGGAUCUAUGGUCCUAAUGCAAGCUGUCUGUUUAGCUUUAGCAAAAAAAAAUCUGUCGGACACAAUAAAUCAUAAUUAUAACAUCACUUCGGGGAAAGGAAACAAGGAAGACUUCGAGGUUCCAAUUCUUCACAAAUGCCUUAGUUAUGUUAUGAAGAAUGCCAAGGAGAUCUGUAAAAAGUAGUAAGUGUAGUCGUUUUAAUACAGUAUUCACUUGUUUGUUUGUUUGUUUUUUAUUGUGACAUGUGACAUGGCAUUUCAUUUUUCACAUGGCAUUUCAUUUUUCAAUUUGGGAAAACUGUUUAUUAUUGUUUUGGAAACACUUAAAGAUAAUUUCUUCUUAAACUGCAGUGCACCAAAGAACUACCAUCUUGCAAUGCACACUGUUGGAGUCUUCACUACUGCAACUUCCUUAAAAGACCUCAGUGACAUGGUUCAAAGUGCUGCAGUUGCUUUUGGGAGUCCUUGUAGUGGUGAGAAUGUCGAAAAACAUUUUCACAACCUGCAGUUAUGGAUGCAGAAAGCCAAUGUUGAUGUUGAUGGUAAUGCUAGAAACUCAAAAGCUGAUGAGGACCUAAAGGUAAACUGAAGUCAAUUUUUAUUAAAGCUAAAGGCUACACUUUUGUCUCUUAUACUUCUUUUUAAAUACUUUGGAAUAGCAUAAUAAUCACAAGUCACAAGUAAUUUGAAAUGUUUUAUACAGGUUUGAUUCAGCUGGCGCCAGCGGGAUAGCCGCAUGAGUGAAG